AGAACGAACGCUGGCGGCAUGCCUAAUACAUGCAAGUCGAACGAACUCUUCGGAGUUAGUGGCGCACGGGUGCGUAACGCGUGGGAAUCUGCCCCUUGGUUCGGAAUAACAGUUGGAAACGACUGCUAAUACCGGAUGAUGACGAAAGUCCAAAGAUUUAUCGCCAAGGGAUGAGCCCGCGUAGGAUUAGCUAGUUGGUGAGGUAAAGGCUCACCAAGGCAACGAUCCUUAGCUGGUCUGAGAGGAUGAUCAGCCACACUGGGACUGAGACACGGCCCAGACUCCUACGGGAGGCAGCAGUAGGGAAUAUUGGACAAUGGGCGAAAGCCUGAUCCAGCAAUGCCGCGUGAGUGAUGAAGGCCUUAGGUUGUAAAGCUCUUUUACCCGAGAUGAUAAUGACAGUAUCGGAGAAUAAGCCCGGCUAACUCCGUGCCAGCAGCCGC
Molecule: ribosomal RNA, 443 nt
Filed under: uncultured soil bacterium
Lineage: Bacteria
Description: bacterial SSU rRNA
Rfam family: Bacterial small subunit ribosomal RNA
Source: RNAcentral